RNAcentral lists this ribosomal RNA (253 nucleotides) under uncultured bacterium. RNAcentral's name for it is "partial 16S ribosomal RNA". It matches the Rfam family "Bacterial small subunit ribosomal RNA", at positions 524 to 776 of the family's 1533-position model. The record is from RNAcentral.
UACGAAGGGGGCUAGCGUUGUUCGGAAUCACUGGGCGUAAAGCGCACGUAGGCUGAUUGGUCAGUUGGGGGUGAAAUCCCGGGGCUCAACCUCGGAACUGCCUUCAAUACUGCCAGUCUUGGGUCCGAGAGAGGUGAGUGGAAUUCCUAGUGUAGAGGUGAAAUUCGUAGAUAUUAGGAAGAACACCAGUGGCGAAGGCGGCUCACUGGCUCGGUACUGACGCUGAGGUGCGAAAGCGUGGGGAGCAAACAGG